UUUUUUGUUACGUGGCAUGAAAUCAAACCGCAAACAUUCCAACAAUACUUUUGGUAAGGAAAUGUUCCAACAUUAUCAAAAACAAAUAAAUAAAAUAUGAUUCUUAUUCAUUCCGUCCAAAAAAUUUAAAAAUCACUUGAUUUUAUAUUUUUUAUUUAUUUUAUAAAAGUCCUUGGUUAAGAAUUAGAGAAUGGCAUCUCAUAGUUUGAUCCUACCAGUAACACAAAUUCGUCCCAACAGCCAAAUUCAGAAGCUUCAUUCUGUUUUAUAUUCCAAACUUUUGUUGUCUCCUUCACGUGUUCAUAGUACCAAAACCACAACAAGACUUUCUUCCUCAAUCAGGGUAAUGGGGNNN
Molecule: long non-coding RNA, 355 nt
Filed under: Trifolium pratense (red clover)
Lineage: Eukaryota; Viridiplantae; Streptophyta; Magnoliopsida; Fabales; Fabaceae
Description: long non-coding RNA (TPRA_LNC003432)
Source: RNAcentral